RNAcentral lists this ribosomal RNA (324 nucleotides) under uncultured archaeon. RNAcentral describes it as "bacterial SSU rRNA". It matches the Rfam family "Archaeal small subunit ribosomal RNA", at positions 321 to 649 of the family's 1478-position model. The record is from RNAcentral.
CCCUACGGGGCGCAGCAGGCGCGAAAACUUUGCAGUGCGGGAAACCGUGACAGGGGAACUCCGAGUGCCCGUAAAAUCGGGCUGUCCAUCAGUUUAAAUAACUGGUGAAGAAAGGGCCGGGCAAGACCGGUGCCAGCCGCCGCGGUAAUACCGGCGGCUCGAGUGGUGGCCACUAUUACUGGGCUUAAAGCGUUCGUAGCUGGUUUGUUAAGUCUCUGGGGAAAUCUUCCGGCUCAACCGGAAGGCGUCUCAGGGAUACUGGCAGACUAGGGACCGGGAGAGGUGAGGGGUACUCCAGGGGUAGGAGUGAAAUCCUGUAAUCCA